RNAcentral lists this ribosomal RNA (399 nucleotides) under bacterium Urfm74. Its description in RNAcentral is "bacterial SSU rRNA". It matches the Rfam family "Bacterial small subunit ribosomal RNA", at positions 26 to 422 of the family's 1533-position model. The record is from RNAcentral.
AGGACGAACGCGGGGCGUGCUUAACACAUGCAAGUCGAACGCUGAAGCCUGGUGCUUGCACGGGGGUGAGUGGCGAACGGGUGAGUAAUACGUGAGUGACCUGCCUUUGACUCUGGGAUAAGCCUGGGAAACUGGGUCUAAUACCGGAUGCGACUACUGCCCGCAUGGGCUGGUGGUGGAAAGGGUUAUGUACUGGUCUAGAUGGGCUCACGGCCUAUCAGCUGGUUGGUGGGGUAAUGGCCUACCAAGGCGACGACGGGUAGCCGGCCUGAGAGGGUGACCGGCCACACUGGGACUGAGACACGGCCCAGACUCCUACGGGAGGCAGCAGUGGGGAAUAUUGCACAAUGGGCGCAAGCCUGAUGCAGAGACGCCGCGUGAGGGAUGACGGCCUUCGGG